Molecule: transfer RNA, 71 nt
Filed under: Candidatus Colwellbacteria bacterium RIFCSPHIGHO2_12_FULL_44_17
Lineage: Bacteria; Candidatus Colwelliibacteriota
Also listed under: 2 other names
Description: tRNA-Pro
Rfam family: tRNA
About the family: Transfer RNA (tRNA) molecules are approximately 80 nucleotides in length. Their secondary structure includes four short double-helical elements and three loops (D, anti-codon, and T loops).
Source: RNAcentral
CGGGGUGUAGUAUACCGGCAGUACGCCUGCUUUGGGAGUAGGUAGACUGGGUUCAAUUCCCAGCACCCCGA